Molecule: long non-coding RNA, 477 nt
Organism: Gossypium arboreum
Lineage: Eukaryota; Viridiplantae; Streptophyta; Magnoliopsida; Malvales; Malvaceae
Exons: 2
Source: RefSeq, a predicted model, not a curated record
CUGAUAAAAUCCGGUGUUCCUCUUCCCGCUGAUGAUCUCAAUUACGACAACACCGAAGCUAAAUACAUCUGAUUUGAAUGAGAAAAGGCCAUCUAGUGCAUACUCAGGCGACAUAUAUCCACUGCAACAUCAAAAGAAGUUUCUUUGCCACCAAAAAUCCUUGCCAUCCCGAAAUCGGAAAUCUUUGGAUUCAUCUCCUCAUCUAGUAGAAUGUUGCUUGUUUUUAGAUCUCUGUGAAUUAUCCUCAGCCUUGAAUCUUGGUGGAGAUAUAGAAGGCCUCGAGCAAUUCCCAAUAUUAUACGGUAUCGCAUAUCCCAAUCGAGUAGAACGCAUAGCUUCCGAUCUUGUUAAGGUAUGUCAUUUCCAUUGAAGAACAUAUCUUUAGUGACUGCUUAGUUUCUGUGAAUACAUAUAUAAUAUUCGAUAAAUACACAUUUGACUCACCAAAUAUGAAGGAGUCUAAGCUUUUGUUAGGCA